RNAcentral lists this long non-coding RNA (854 nucleotides) under Elaeis guineensis (African oil palm). Its description in RNAcentral is "long non-coding RNA (EGUI_LNC068706)". The record is from RNAcentral. Lineage: Eukaryota; Viridiplantae; Streptophyta; Magnoliopsida; Arecales; Arecaceae.
GGCCCCAUAUCAUGUAAUAAAUAUGUCAAAAACCAACUUUAGCUGUCUUUCAUCUCUGCCCCCACUAUGGCCCAUGUGAUGAAAAAAAUAUUUUCAUUACCAUUCUUCCUCACUGCAGCUAGGAGCUGUCCUCCAAAUGAGCCCUUCAAGUGACAUCCACCCAAUCCAAUGAUAGGUCUGCAGCCCUUGACGAAGCCAUGCUUGCAAGCUACAAGACAAUAAUAUAACCUCCUAAAGAUAGGUAGACUAGUGUCAUUGGGCCUACGAACAUCCAACAACAUCGUGCUCCCAGGAUUGGUUUCUUUGAUUAUCUGACAAUACUCCCAUAGGUGGCCAUACUACUCCCUAUGGCUUUCCUGUAUAAUCUCUUGGGCUUUAGACUUGGCUCUAUAGCACUGUGCCCUUGAAACAAAAACCUUUGCAUCCCUCUUUACUUUCUCUCUGAAGCCCUUCACACUCUAUUUUGUGUUUGAUUUAAUCUCCUCAAGGUAUUUCUCUGCUAGAAACUUAGAUGUCACAUUAUAAUUUUCAAAUUGCCGACCACAACUAUAUACAGGCUGGAAGGUCAUAAUUUGAUAAGUGCUCUCCCUUUGGACUGAUGAAGCAUGAAUCCUCCACCCACAUUCUUUCUUGCAUACAGUAGUAACUCUACUUGCCUCAUUCUUCUUGUAGACAAAAUCAAAAUCCUUCUGUAUGCUGUAAAGCUACAGCACCAUCCUAAACUGCACAGCAUUGCUAAACCUCAAUCCUACUGAAAGUGUGAUAGUUCUUUUAACAUUUACAGUUUCAUUGAAUUCGGGAUAAUCAGAACUCCGAAUCACAGCAUCUGAAUCACUGUCACUGCCCAAGCUACG